GACCUGGCUGGGUGGUCCGCUUAACGGCGUGUACUGUUCGGCUGGGCCUUACCUCUUGGUGAGCCAGUGUGGUCUUAACUGACUGCAUUGGGGAACCAGGACUUUUACCUUGAGAAAAUUAGAGUGUUCAAAGCAGGCCUAUGCCUGAAUACAUUAGCAUGGAAUAAUAAAAUAGGACGU
This 180-nucleotide ribosomal RNA is filed under the name uncultured Glomeromycotina. RNAcentral's name for it is "partial small subunit ribosomal RNA". The stretch from base 87 to 180 matches the Rfam family "Eukaryotic small subunit ribosomal RNA", at positions 734 to 830 of the family's 1831-position model. Lineage: Eukaryota; Fungi; Glomeromycota. The record is from RNAcentral.